RNAcentral lists this long non-coding RNA (380 nucleotides) under Malus domestica (apple). RNAcentral describes it as "long non-coding RNA (MDOM_LNC015014)". The record is from RNAcentral. Lineage: Eukaryota; Viridiplantae; Streptophyta; Magnoliopsida; Rosales; Rosaceae.
CGAGGCAAGAGACGGAGGAGGUGGAGGUGACCUUGAUGUCGGAUCCAGCUAGAACCCAGAGCACAGCCACUGAGCCCAACCACUGAGCACAGCCGCUGCACACCCGUUGUACUGCCACCGAGCACCGCCACUGUGCAUCCGUUGCACUGCCAAUCGCUGCAAAGGAUUAUGUUCAACGGCGGAGAUGCUGCCCUAUUUGCCAAGCUAUGCCAACGUGCUUCACACAAUUAACCAUCCAGAAUUGUUAAACAUUCCAUCUGGGUUUAUCACAAAACAGAAGAAAAAAAACAAGAUCCAUCCAUGCCAAACACCAAUCUGCCAUCUUUUCGGGAUCUGUCACGACAUCAUCAGCCAAAACCUACUUGGUCCGCUCGCAGAUU